UACACUUACAAAACCAAAAAGACAAGAACAUCAUUACAACAAACUAUACCCUAAUUUUCUCUCCAAUUUCUCUCACAGUAUUCGGCAAAUUUCUUCUAAAACAAUAAAUAAAUUAUCUCAAAUUGCCGCUCAAGAUGAGAUUGCUGAAAAAAGCUUAAGAAAAUGGAAAAAUUGCCGCUUAAAUUUCUCUCAAUUUCUUUAGAAGUUUGUAUGCUGUCAUUCGGCACCUUAAGAAGCUUAAAGAGAGGUUCAAAUUAUUGAAAUUUCUGAGAAAAUAUUAGGGGUUUGAGAAAAUCUGAGAAAAUUUGAAUUUUGGGGGUUUCUUUGAAUCUAUCAUGUCUGAAAAAUUCUAGGGUUUGUGUUCAAUCGGUGAUAUUUUAAGUGAUGAAACAACUUUAAAGGCAUUGUGAGUUUGUUCAGUCUCUGCCUAAGGAAGAAAUCGAAGUGGAGGAAAUCUAUAGCAGGAUAUUUUUAUUGUAUGGUUUUUCAAUACUCUGAUUUGAACAAAGCUAGUGGACAAGGGAGUAGUAACUUCACUAUCGAUAGAUUUGCGGCGCACAUAAGUUGAAAUGGAGAAAAUACAAACUCAAGAAAUAGAAGAUGGUACUGAGCCAGUUGAUGUAUUUGCAUCAAUCAUGGGACCUGAGCAUCCAAAUUUUGUAAGAUUAUAUGGGUGUGGAGUUACCAAGACAUCGUUGAAAGAAAAUGUGGAAAAUCCUGCAUCCUCUAAUGAUGAGCUGCUGCAACAAAAAAUGAAAGAAAUAGAAAAGAGGAUGAAAUAAAGAAUGAUAGAAAAAUUCAUGGAAGAAAAGGGUACAAUGCAACAAUAAAUUGAAAUUAACAUCAUAGAAAGACUUUAACACAUUAACCCUGAUCUACAACUUGACCCUGACCUGCUUGCAUUUUGUGCUCGUUCUUGAUCAUUAGAACAAACUGAAGAUUAGUAUUUAUUCUACUUUUUUGCCUUGUUUUCUUCUUCAUAAUAUUGAAGACUACAAGUUUCUAUCUCUUUUGUAAUCUUGUUAACAUUAUGUUGUUGAAUCUAAAGUCUAGUGAAGCCGUGUGGGGC
Capsicum annuum is the source of this 1069-nucleotide long non-coding RNA. RefSeq lists it as uncharacterized. The transcript has 4 exons. The record is from RefSeq and is a predicted model, not a curated record. NCBI's taxonomy places the organism in Eukaryota, Viridiplantae, Streptophyta, Magnoliopsida, Solanales, Solanaceae.